Molecule: ribosomal RNA, 448 nt
Filed under: uncultured bacterium
Lineage: Bacteria
Description: bacterial SSU rRNA
Rfam family: Bacterial small subunit ribosomal RNA
Source: RNAcentral
GCCCAGACUCCUACGGGAGGCAGCAGUGGGGAAUAUUGGGCAAUGGGCGCAAGCCUGACCCAGCAACGCCGCGUGAAGGAGGAAGGCUUUCGGGUUGUAAACUUCUUUUAAGAGGGAAGAGUAGAAGACGGUACCUCUUGAAUAAGCCACAGCUAACUACGUGCCAGCAGCCGCGGUAAUACGUAGGUGGCAAGCGUUGUCCGGAUUUACUGGGUGUAAAGGGCGUGUAGCCGGGCCGGCAAGUCAGAUGUGAAAUCCCAAGGCUCAACCUUGGAACUGCAUUUGAAACUGUUGGUCUUGAGUAUCGGAGAGGCAGGCGGAAUUCCUAGUGUAGCGGUGAAAUGCGUAGAUAUUAGGAGGAACACCAGUGGCGAAGGCGACUAUCUGGCACAUAACUGACGCUGAGGAGCGAAAGCGUGGGUAGCAAACAGGAUUAGAUACCCCUGUA